Pelobates cultripes (western spadefoot toad) is the source of this 110-nucleotide non-coding RNA. Lineage: Eukaryota; Metazoa; Chordata; Amphibia; Anura; Pelobatidae. The record is from the annotation of a GenBank genome assembly.
GUCAGGAUGGUCGAGCGGUCUAAGGCGCCAGACUCAAGAUCAACUUCCCUCCACAAUAUGGGUGUUCUGGUCUCCACAUGGAGGCUUAGGUUCAAAUCCCACUUCUGACA